Rosa chinensis is the source of this 1352-nucleotide long non-coding RNA. RefSeq lists it as uncharacterized. The record is from RefSeq and is a predicted model, not a curated record. Lineage: Eukaryota; Viridiplantae; Streptophyta; Magnoliopsida; Rosales; Rosaceae. The transcript is spliced from 6 exons.
AUCUUGACUGUUUUUCGAUCAAGUGCAUUUUGGGUUUGAAAUUGUUCAUGUGUGAUCGAUCUUGUUAGGUUUAGCUUCCUUUAGUGGGAUUAAUUUUCGAUCAUAUGAGUUUUCUUGUGUGGCUGAUCUUGUGGUCCAUGGCUGUAGCAUUUUGUUGUGUGAUCAUGCAAAUCCCAUUGUGAAAUGCUCCAUUACUUUUUUCUGUAAUGGUCAGCAUUUCUGUAGAGAUUGUAUUGCAAUUGGAUAGGUUCAUUGACUGUGUGUAUGUGCAGGACCUGCCCCGUACCUUCCCUGGUCACCCAUGGUUGGACACCCCAGAAGGACAUGCUGCUCUUCGUCGCGUUCUUGUUGUGUAUUCGUUCCGUGAUUCGGAUGUGGGUUAUUGUCAGGGCUUAAAUUAUGUUGCAGCACUGUUACUGCUUGUGAUGAAAACAGAGGAAGAUGCAUUUUAGAUGCUAGCUGUUCUCCUGGAAAAUGUCUUGGUCAAUGACUGUUAUACAAAUAAUUUAUCAGGAUGCCAUGUCGAACAAAGAGUUUUCAAGGAUUUUCUUGCUAAUAUGUGUCCAAGGGUAGCGGCGCAUUUGGAAGCAGUGUUACCUGGAUCGCGGGUCAUUGCGGAACGGGUACGCGGUACGCCAAUCUCUAUAGAACGCGAAGUCUAGGAACGGACGAAGUCUAGAAACAAGCGCACCAGAGCUGAUGCAGAAGAUGGGACCGCUGAGUAAAUAUGGGAUCGCUGGAGUCACCGAUCUGGUUCGUGAUCAUACUGCGUUUCGGGUCGUGCGACCGGGUUCGCGGGUCGCCGGCAAACUGAGCGAUCCCGGCAUCUCUGUUUGGAAGCACUGGAGUUUGAUGUAUCCCUUGUUGCCAUAGAGUGGUUUCUUUGCCUCUUUUCUAAGAGCUUGCCUUCAGAGGUUAGAGAUACUUUUGACUCUAUCUAUCUUUUUUACUUUGAAACAUAGUGAAAUGAUUUGUGGGUUUUUUCUGUUGCUGACACUUUCAUGGUUUCAUGUGGCUUUGGCAAUCAAGGUACAAGAAAUGGGGCCUUUUUCUUUUGCUGAUGAAGGAACAGGAGUUGCUUCUAACCUAUCAUGUUGGCGAUGUUAUUAAUAUUCUGCAGAAAACCACUCAUCAUCUAUUUGAUCCUGAUGAGCUAUUGACGUUCCAACUUCAAUGGGGACACAAGAGGCAUCCAGAAUUAGAGAAAUUUAUCAUGAAGAUCCAAAGUGAAGCUGGUCUCUUAAGAAACAAGAUGUAUUUCAAGUGGAAUGUGCUGUGAAUGUCCUAUGUACUUUAGGUUCAUUUUUUUUGUAUUUGGUUUUGCUAUAAGCUUCAUUUGUGAUUGCUUCCAC